Molecule: ribosomal RNA, 253 nt
Filed under: uncultured bacterium
Lineage: Bacteria
Description: partial 16S ribosomal RNA
Rfam family: Bacterial small subunit ribosomal RNA
Source: RNAcentral
UACGAAGGGGGCUAGCGUUGUUCGGAUUUACUGGGCGUAAAGCGCACGUAGGCGGAUCGUUAAGUCGGGGGUGAAAUCCUGGAGCUCAACUCCAGAACUGCCUUUGAUACUGAGGAUCUUGAGUUCGGGAGAGGUGAGUGGAACUGCGAGUGUAGAGGUGAAAUUCGUAGAUAUUCGCAAGAACACCAGUGGCGAAGGCGGCUCACUGGCCCGGAACUGACGCUGAGACGCGAAAGCGUGGGGAGCAAACGGG